GCAUGGCGGGCGUGCUAAUACAUGCAAGUCGAGCGGAACGGUGGGGAGCUUGCUCCCGGCCGUUUAGCGGCGGACGGGUGAGUAACACGUGGGCAACCUGCCCUGCAGAUCGGGAUAACUCCGGGAAACCGGCGCUAAUACCGGAUAGGUCGGAACCUCGCAUGAGGUUCCGCGGAAAGACGGUUUCGGCUGUCACUGCAGGAUGGGCCCGCGGCGCAUUAGCUAGUUGGUGGGGUAGUGGCCCACCAAGGCGACGAUGCGUAGCCGACCUGAGAGGGUGAUCGGCCACACUGGGACUGAGACACGGCCCAGACUCCUACGGGAGGCAGCAGUAGGGAAUCUUCCGCAAUGGACGCAAGUCUGACGGAGCAACGCCGCGUGAGUGAAGAAGGUUUUCGGAUCGUAAAACUCUGUUGUGAGGGAAGAACAAGUGCCACCUAACUAGUGGCACCUUGACGGUACCUCACCAGAAAGCCACGGCUAACUACGUGCCAGCAGCCGCGGUAAUACGUAGGUGGCAAGCGUUGUCCGGAAUUAUUGGGCGUAAAGCGCGCGCAGGCGGUCUUUUAAGUCUGAUGUGAAAGCCCACGGCUCAACCGUGGA
This 603-nucleotide ribosomal RNA is filed under the name bacterium. Its description in RNAcentral is "bacterial SSU rRNA". It matches the Rfam family "Bacterial small subunit ribosomal RNA", at positions 35 to 619 of the family's 1533-position model. The record is from RNAcentral.